CUUGGUCAUUUAGAGGAAGUAAAAGUCGUAACAAGGUCUCCGUUGGUGAACCAGCGGAGGGAUCAUUACCGAGUUUACAACUCCCAAACCCCUGUGAACAUACCACUUGUUGCCUCGGCGGAUCAGCCCGCUCCCGGUAAAACGGGACGGCCCGCCAGAGGACCCCUAAACUCUGUUUCUAUAUGUAACUUCUGAGUAAAACCAUAAAUAAAUCAAAACUUUCAACAACGGAUCUCUUGGUUCUGGCAUCGAUGAAGAACGCAGCAAAAUGCGAUAAGUAAUGUGAAUUGCAGAAUUCAGUGAAUCAUCGAAUCUUUGAACGCACAUUGCGCCCGCCAGUAUUCUGGCGGGCAUGCCUGUUCGAGCGUCAUUUCAACCCUCAAGCACAGCUUGGUGUUGGGACUCGCGUUAAUUCGCGUUCCUCAAAUUGAUUGGCGGUCACGUCGAGCUUCCAUAGCGUAGUAGUAAAACCCUCGUUACUGGUAAUCGUCGCGGCCAUGCCGUUAAACCCCAACUUCUGAAUGUUGACCUCGGAUCAGGUAGGAAUACCCGCUGAACUUAAGCAUAUCAAUAAGCGGAGGA
This 582-nucleotide ribosomal RNA is filed under the name uncultured Ascomycota. RNAcentral describes it as "eukaryotic LSU rRNA". The stretch from base 217 to 370 matches the Rfam family "5.8S ribosomal RNA". Lineage: Eukaryota; Fungi; Ascomycota. The record is from RNAcentral.